CCCUGUACCCUCGUGCAGCCGCCCCGCAGUUUCCCCCCCAGUGUUGCACUGUCCCGCACGUUCCGUGUCCUCCACCUCCCUCCAGCUGUUUCAUUUUUGUUUCGUGGCUGCUGUUAUUUGCCCCUUUAUUGUUUCAUGUUUUCUCCGUCUCGUUCCUUUUGUUCUCCGAUUCCUCCACGUAUUCCACACCUUUUUCUGAAUUUUCCAGUGCUUUUGUGUUUUUUCCCUCUUUUUUGCCUUGCGCACGCACUCGCCCGCANUUGCCGUUCCACGCUCACCAUUUGUGUUUUUCCCGGCCCCCGACGCCGUCCAUGACCCCAACCCGGGGGCUGACAUCCCAGACCGUAACCUUCCC
This 355-nucleotide unclassified non-coding RNA is filed under the name Trypanosoma cruzi. RNAcentral describes it as "trans-spliced leader SL". The record is from RNAcentral. Lineage: Eukaryota; Euglenozoa; Kinetoplastea; Trypanosomatida; Trypanosomatidae.